RNAcentral lists this non-coding RNA (338 nucleotides) under Ancylostoma ceylanicum. RNAcentral describes it as "Eukaryotic small subunit ribosomal RNA". It matches the Rfam family "Eukaryotic small subunit ribosomal RNA", at positions 638 to 1642 of the family's 1831-position model. The record is from Rfam by way of RNAcentral. Lineage: Eukaryota; Metazoa; Nematoda; Chromadorea; Rhabditida; Ancylostomatidae.
GUUUCGUUGGAACCCGACAAUUGAGAUUUGCUGAGUUUUAAUUUUUCGAUUAUUGGUUUCUAUGUGAAUCAUCCAUCAUCUUCCUAAUUGAAGGUUUUGAUUAGUGCAGAGCGAAAGUCAGAGGCUCGAAGGCGAUUAGAUGCUGUCAUAAUUUGGGCUAUAAAAUGUGCUGUCUGGCGAUCCGACGGGGUAUUGUUGUCUUGUCGAGGAGCUUCCUGCAAGCGAAAGUCUUUUGGUCCCGUAUGGAGUAUGGUUACAAAGCUGGUGCUUAAGAAUUCGAUGGAACAGUGCCGUUCAGCACAGGAAACUCACAGUGCCGGACGUCGUGGUGACCAUCU